Molecule: ribosomal RNA, 467 nt
Filed under: uncultured bacterium
Lineage: Bacteria
Description: partial 16S ribosomal RNA
Rfam family: Bacterial small subunit ribosomal RNA
Source: RNAcentral
GACGAACGCUGGCGGCGUGCUUAACACAUGCAAGUCGAACGGAAAGGCCUCUUUCGGGGGGUACUCGAGUGGCGAACGGGUGAGUAACACGUGAGUAACCUGCCAUUGACUUUGGGAUAACUUCAGAAAACUGGGGCUAAUACCGGAUAGGAGCUCCUGCCGCAUGGUGGGGGUUGGAAAGUUUCGGCGGUUGGGGAUGGACUCGCGGCUUAUCCGCUUGUUGGUGGGGUAGUGGCUUACCAAGGCUUUGACGGGUAGCCGGCCUGAGAGGGUGACCGGCCACAUUGGGACUGAGAGACGGCCCAGACUCCGACGGGAGGCAGCAGGGGGGAAUAUUGCACAAGGGGUGGAAGCCUGAUGCAGCAACGCCGUGUGCGGGAUGACGGCCUUAGGGUUGUAAACCGAUUUCGCUCAUGACGAAGCUUUGUGUGACGGUAGUGGGUAAAGAAGCACCGGCUAACUACGUG